AUACACUCAGACACUCCCACACACAAUCCUCCCCUUUGCCUGUGAUACAAUUACCUUACACAAUAUGUAAUGUAAUUAUCACAAGCAGAGAAAUAAAAUUUUUCCACAUUAUUCAUAACUUGAAAAGAAUGCAUCACAUUCACAUAAAACUUACUUUCAGAAUCAGCAUACUCCAAAUACAAACAUACGUCAAAAUCAUACAAA
Molecule: non-coding RNA, 204 nt
Organism: Pelobates cultripes (western spadefoot toad)
Lineage: Eukaryota; Metazoa; Chordata; Amphibia; Anura; Pelobatidae
Source: the annotation of a GenBank genome assembly